CACUUUGGUUUCAAAAAUGCAUAUUCAACACAUUGUUUACAUGUUUAAUUUUCCUUCAAAAAUCAAAAAUUGCCCAUUUCGAUUUCUUUUCAUUAUUAUUCUUCUAUUAUCAUCUUUUCAUACUCAGAUAUCCAAUAUUAGCCAUUAGUUAGACACUUUGUAUACCAAAGUUUAGAAACAAUAUUACUCUUAGGCAUUUUAUCGAGCACGUUAUGUGCACACAUUAACUUAUCUCAACUCUUGAUCUUAAAUGGUU
Molecule: long non-coding RNA, 256 nt
Filed under: Panax ginseng (ginseng)
Lineage: Eukaryota; Viridiplantae; Streptophyta; Magnoliopsida; Apiales; Araliaceae
Description: long non-coding RNA (PGIN_LNC003519)
Source: RNAcentral